UACGUAGGAGACGAGCGUUGUCCGGAAUCACUGGGCGUAAAGCGCGUGUAGGCGGAUCGGCAAGUCUGCUGUGAAAGCUCCUGGCUUAACCGGGAGUGGUCGGUGGAAACUGCCAGUCUGGAGGACGGUAGAGGUAGGUAGAAUUCCCGGUGUAGUGGUGGAAUGCGUAGAUAUCGGGAGGAACACCAGUGGCGAAGGCGGUUGCCUGGGGCGUUUGCUGACGCUGAUGCGCGAAAGCGUGGGGAGCGAUCCGG
This 254-nucleotide ribosomal RNA is filed under the name uncultured bacterium. RNAcentral's name for it is "partial 16S ribosomal RNA". It matches the Rfam family "Bacterial small subunit ribosomal RNA", at positions 524 to 776 of the family's 1533-position model. The record is from RNAcentral.